UUGGCAAACGUUACUCAAAAUUAUUAUUCCAAAUAAAAAUUAAAAUUACAAUGUAUUUAUAAUGAAAACUUGUGUACAAAAUAUAGCUCAAGAUCGCAGUUUAGUAUACGAAACUUAAAAGGCGAUAUGUCGUUUAAAACUAUGAAGAAAAUGUAAAACUACUAAUUAAACAAAAUAUAUUUCCAGUGCUAUUAAAAUGAAUAAAAGCUUAUGAAAUGAAAAAGUGAAUAGAAGUGCAUAUAUGUAUGUAAAAAAAAUAUAAAUGUGAGAUACAAUAUACUCUUAUUAAGAAUUCUUGUUAAUAAUGUAUAUACCUACUUAUACCGCUCAAUAGUUAUGAAAAUGUAAUUGGAUUUCAAGGAAAUAAUGACAAUUGGUCUUGAUUUUGACUUUAUGUAACAAGAACAUGUACUCUGC
Molecule: long non-coding RNA, 417 nt
Organism: Teleopsis dalmanni
Lineage: Eukaryota; Metazoa; Arthropoda; Insecta; Diptera; Diopsidae
Exons: 3
Source: RefSeq, a predicted model, not a curated record